This 401-nucleotide ribosomal RNA is filed under the name uncultured bacterium. RNAcentral's name for it is "bacterial SSU rRNA". It matches the Rfam family "Bacterial small subunit ribosomal RNA", at positions 355 to 773 of the family's 1533-position model. The record is from RNAcentral.
UGGGGAAUAUUGCACAAUGGGCGAAAGCCUGAUGCAGCAACGCCGCGUGAGUGAUGAGGGCCUUCGGGUUGUAAAGCUCUGUCUUCUGGGACGAUAAUGACGGUACCAGAGGAGGAAGCCACGGCUAACUACGUGCCAGCAGCCGCGGUAAUACGUAGGUGGCAAGCGUUGUCCGGAUUUACUGGGCGUAAAGGAUGCGUAGGCGGAUACUUAAGUCAGAUGUGAAAAUCCCGGGCUUAACUUGGGAACUGCAUUUGAAACUGGGUAUCUAGAGUGCGGGAGAGGAAAGUGGAAUUCCUAGUGUAGCGGUGAAAUGCGUAGAGAUUAGGAAGAACACCAGUGGCGAAGGCGACUUUCUGGACCGUAACUGACGCUGAGGCAUGAAAGCGUGGGGAGCAAAC